This 251-nucleotide ribosomal RNA is filed under the name uncultured prokaryote. RNAcentral's name for it is "partial 16S rRNA". It matches the Rfam family "Bacterial small subunit ribosomal RNA", at positions 525 to 775 of the family's 1533-position model. The record is from RNAcentral.
ACGGGGGGUGCUAGCGUUAUCCGGAAUCAUUGGGCUUAAAGGGCGCGUAGGCGGACUUUUAAGUCAGUGGUGAAAGCCUUCGGCUUAACUGCGGAACUGCCUUUGAUACUAAUAGACUUGAGUAUGGUAAAGGUAGGCGGAAUUCCUGGUGUAGCGGUGAAAUGCUUAGAUAUCAGGAGGAACACCGGUGGCGAAGGCGGCUUACUGGGCCAAUACUGACGCUGAGGCGCGAAGGCGUGGGGAGCGAACAG